UACAGAGGGUGCGAGCGUUAAUCGGAAUUACUGGGCGUAAAGCGUGCGCAGGCGGUUCGCUGUGUCCGAUGUGAAAGCCCCGGGCUCAACCUGGGAAUGGCAUGGGAAACUGGCGGGCUGGAGUGUGGCAGAGGGGGGUGGAAUUCCGCGUGUAGCAGUGAAAUGCGUAGAGAUGCGGAGGAACACCGAUGGCGAAGGCAGCCCCCUGGGCCAACACUGACGCUCAGGCACGAAAGCGUGGGGAGCAAACAGG
RNAcentral lists this ribosomal RNA (253 nucleotides) under uncultured bacterium. RNAcentral describes it as "partial 16S ribosomal RNA". It matches the Rfam family "Bacterial small subunit ribosomal RNA", at positions 524 to 776 of the family's 1533-position model. The record is from RNAcentral.